Molecule: ribosomal RNA, 253 nt
Filed under: uncultured bacterium
Lineage: Bacteria
Description: partial 16S ribosomal RNA
Rfam family: Bacterial small subunit ribosomal RNA
Source: RNAcentral
UACGUAGGGUGCGAGCGUUAAUCGGAAUUACUGGGCGUAAAGCGUGCGCAGGCGGUUUUGUAAGACAGAUGUGAAAUCCCCGGGCUUAACCUGGGAACUGCAUUUGUGACUGCAAGACUAGAGUGCGGCAGAGGGGGGUAGAAUUCCACGUGUAGCAGUGAAAUGCGUAGAUAUGUGGAGGAAUACCGAUGGCGAAGGCAGCCUUCUGGCAUAAUACUGACACUGAGGCUCGAAAGCGUGGGUAGCAAACAGG